RNAcentral lists this ribosomal RNA (485 nucleotides) under uncultured bacterium. Its description in RNAcentral is "partial 16S ribosomal RNA". It matches the Rfam family "Bacterial small subunit ribosomal RNA", at positions 30 to 507 of the family's 1533-position model. The record is from RNAcentral.
AUUGAACGCUGGCGGCAGGCUUAACACAUACAAGUCGAGCGGGGGAAGGUAGCUUGCUACCGGACCUAGCGGCGGACGGGUGAGUAAUGCUUAGGAAUCUGCCUAUUAGUGGGGGACAACAUCUCGAAAGGGAUGCUAAUACCGCAUACGUCCUACGGGAGAAAGCAGGGGAUCUUCGGACAUUGCGCUAAUAGAUGAGCCUAAGUCGGGUUAGCUAGUUGGUGGGGUAAAGGCCUAACAAGGCGACGAUCUGUAGCGGGUCUGAGAGGAUGAUCCGCCACACUGGGACUGAGACACGGCCCAGACUCCUACGGGAGGCAGCAGUGGGGAAUAUUGGACAAUGGGGGGAACCCUGAUCCAGCCAUGCCGCGUGUGUGAAGAAGGCCUUAUGGUUGUAAAGCACUUUAAGCGAGGAGGAGGCUACUUUAGUUAAUACCUAGAGAUAGUGGACGUUACUCGCAGAAUAAGCACCGGCUAACUCUGUG